CAUUUAUGAAGUGCCUAUUAUG
This 22-nucleotide microRNA is filed under the name Monodelphis domestica (gray short-tailed opossum). RNAcentral describes it as "mdo-miR-7281-3p". Lineage: Eukaryota; Metazoa; Chordata; Mammalia; Didelphimorphia; Didelphidae. The record is from miRBase by way of RNAcentral.